CAGCAGCCGCGGGAAUACGGAGGGUGCAAGCGUUAAUCGGAAUUACUGGGCGUAAAGCGUGCGUAGGCGGUUCGUUAAGUCUGUUGUGAAAGCCCCGGGCUCAACCUGGGAAUGGCAAUGGAUACUGGCGAGCUAGAGUGUGUCAGAGGAUGGUGGAAUUCCCGGUGUAGCGGUGAAAUGCGUAGAGAUCGGGAGGAACAUCAGUGGCGAAGGCGGCCAUCUGGGACAACACUGACGCUGAGGCACGAAAGCGUGGGGAGCAAACAGGAUUAGAUACCCGGGUAGUCCCUGUCUCUUAUAC
Molecule: ribosomal RNA, 301 nt
Filed under: uncultured bacterium
Lineage: Bacteria
Description: partial 16S ribosomal RNA
Rfam family: Bacterial small subunit ribosomal RNA
Source: RNAcentral